UUGCGGUUUUGCUGGUACUGAGGU
RNAcentral lists this microRNA (24 nucleotides) under Eptesicus fuscus (big brown bat). Its description in RNAcentral is "efu-miR-9186m". The record is from miRBase by way of RNAcentral. Lineage: Eukaryota; Metazoa; Chordata; Mammalia; Chiroptera; Vespertilionidae.